CCCUUAGGUGUUCUGGGCCGCACGCGCGCCACACUGACGAAUGCAACGAGCUUAUAACCUUGGCCGAAAGGUCUGGGUAAUCUCCAAAUUUCGUCGUGAUGGGGAUAGAUUAUUGCAAUUAUUAAUCUUCAACGAGGAAUGCCUAGUAAGCGCAAGUCAUCAGCUUGCGUUGAUUACGUCCCUGCCCUUUGUACACACCGCCCGUCGCUCCUACCGAUUGAAUGGUCCGGUGAAGCGUUCGGACCGUGGCCUUUGGACGGUUCGCCGUCUGUUGGCUGCGGGAAGUUCGUUAAACCUUAUCAUUUAGAGGAAGGAGAAGUCGUAACA
This 327-nucleotide ribosomal RNA is filed under the name uncultured eukaryote. Its description in RNAcentral is "partial 18S ribosomal RNA". It matches the Rfam family "Eukaryotic small subunit ribosomal RNA", at positions 1470 to 1796 of the family's 1831-position model. The record is from RNAcentral.